This 253-nucleotide ribosomal RNA is filed under the name uncultured Methanomassiliicoccales archaeon. RNAcentral describes it as "partial 16S ribosomal RNA". It matches the Rfam family "Archaeal small subunit ribosomal RNA", at positions 474 to 727 of the family's 1478-position model. The record is from RNAcentral. Lineage: Archaea; Methanobacteriati; Thermoplasmatota; Thermoplasmata; Methanomassiliicoccales.
UACCCGCGCCCCUAGUGGUGGUCGAUAUUAUUGAGCCUAAAACGUCCGUAGCCGGUCUUCUAAAUCCUUGGGUAAAUCAGGCAGCUUAACUGUCCGAAGUCCGGGGAGACUGGGAGACUUGGGACCGGGAGAGGUCAGUGGUACUUCUGGGGUAGGGGUAAAAUCCUGUAAUCCUGGAAGGACCACCGGUGGCGAAGGCGUCUGACUAGAACGGAUCCGACGGUGAGGGACGAAGCCCUGGGGCGCAAACAGG